This 71-nucleotide transfer RNA is filed under the name Allobates talamancae (Talamanca rocket frog). Its description in RNAcentral is "tRNA-Ser". It matches the Rfam family "tRNA". Rfam says of the family: Transfer RNA (tRNA) molecules are approximately 80 nucleotides in length. Lineage: Eukaryota; Metazoa; Chordata; Amphibia; Anura; Aromobatidae. The record is from RNAcentral.
AAGAAAAUGGCAGAGUGGAAAUGCGUCUGGCUUGAAAUCAGAUAAUGGGGGUUCAAUUCCCUCUUUUCUCG